UUUUCAUCUCCAAGUCUGGCUACUGCAGAUGCAGAAUGAAAAACGAGCCAAUAACACAGCAAACCCGGGCAACUCGGCACGAAAGGCAAUAACCGUGAUGCACAGAAGACCGGGUUUCCACCACCCUGAGCCAAGGAGGCCUCUGCCAUGGAGAGAGGCCGUCAGAGACCAGUGUCCGGCAGCGCCCUGCCUGGCCCCGGAGCCUGGGGCAAAAGGGAACCUUAGGACCACCGACCCUUUUCCUCCAAAACUUCAAUAUUUCCUUCCUCAUAGAUAUCUUGCAUUCAUUUUGCAUUAACUUUAUUUAAAACAUUGCAUUAAAACAUCAUUUCUGCCUCUCUCCUCACACUGGUCCCACCCUGGCCUCUCUGUGGGAUGUUCCUGCCACCCUGACCCCUCUCCAGCCCUCCAGACACUGAUGGCUGCAAGCUUUACAUGGGUGGCCCACCAGGCCCUGCAGCAAGUGACCCUCCUGCAAGCUCCUCCUGUCCCCAGAGUGUCUGUUGUCACCAGGACACAUCAAAAUGGCUGAACACUAGGUGGCUCCACUCCCAAGGGGCAUUUUGGAACUUCAGGAAGGGCUGUUUUGAGUUGUCACAAUGACCUUCAGUAAAUACACAGGCCAGCCCUGCAGGUAACUCUGUCCCUGGUCUCGCCAGACGUUCAGGAAAGCAUCUCCUGUGUCCAUUGAAGGGAGGACACGUUGCUGCAUUUGGAACUUGACCACCUGGGAAAGUCACAUCACAGGUACAUGCUCAGCUGCUGGAGGCCGGAACGCCAGGCCUGGCCCGUCCGCAUCAGCCAUGGGGGCUGGCGCGGGGAUAAGAUGACACAGGCAUGCCUCGGGGGGCUUCUGGGCUCCCCCUGGAGACAGAGCCAGGCCUUUACAUAUUGAAAAACAUAUGAUUUUAUCAUACAAUUUCCCUUUAAUUCCUCCUCCAUAUAACAGGGCGUUAUGUUGACUCUUGCAAAA
This is a long non-coding RNA of Pan troglodytes (chimpanzee), 973 nucleotides long. RefSeq lists it as uncharacterized. The transcript has 3 exons. Lineage: Eukaryota; Metazoa; Chordata; Mammalia; Primates; Hominidae. The record is from RefSeq and is a predicted model, not a curated record.